This 253-nucleotide ribosomal RNA is filed under the name uncultured bacterium. Its description in RNAcentral is "partial 16S ribosomal RNA". It matches the Rfam family "Bacterial small subunit ribosomal RNA", at positions 524 to 776 of the family's 1533-position model. The record is from RNAcentral.
UACGUAGGGGUCUAGCGUUGUCCGGAUUUAUUGGGCGUAAAGAGCGCGUAGGCGGCCAGGUAGGUCGGUUGUGAAAACUGGAGGCUCAACCUUCAGAGGUCGACCGAAACCAUCUGGCUAGAGUCCGGGAGAGGAGAGUGGAAUUCCUGGUGUAGCGGUGAAAUGCGCAGAUAUCAGGAAGAACACCCGUGGCGAAAGCGGCUCUCUGGAACGGUACUGACGCUGAGACGCGAAAGCGUGGGGAGCGAACAGG